RNAcentral lists this ribosomal RNA (524 nucleotides) under uncultured bacterium. RNAcentral's name for it is "bacterial SSU rRNA". It matches the Rfam family "Bacterial small subunit ribosomal RNA", at positions 355 to 896 of the family's 1533-position model. The record is from RNAcentral.
UGGGGAAUAUUGGACAAUGGGGGAAACCCUGAUCCAGCCAUGCCGCGUGCGUGAAGAAGGCCUCAGGGUUGUAAAGCGCUUUCGGCGGGGAAGAUGAUGACGGUACCCGCAGAAGAAGCCCCGGCUAACUCCGUGCCAGCAGCCGCGGUGAUACGGAGGGGGCAAGCGUUGUUCGGAAUUACUGGGCGUAAAGGGCGCGUAGGCGGGCGACUAAGUCAGAGGUGAAAGGCCUGGGCUCAACCUGGGAACUGCCUUUGAAACUAGUUGUCUAGAGUCCGGAAGAGGAUGGCGGAAUUCCCAGUGUAGAGGUGAAAUUCGUAGAUAUUGGGAAGAACACCAGUGGCGAAGGCGGCCAUCUGGUCCGGUACUGACGCUGAGGCGCGAAAGCGUGGGGAGCAAACAGGAUUAGAUACCCUGGUAGUCCACGCCGUAAACGAUGUGUGCUAGCCGUUGGGAAACCUAGUUUCUCGGUGGCGCAGCUAACGCGAUAAGCACACCGCCUGGGGAGUACAGUCGCAAGAUUA